CUGGGUGUAGCACAGAUGGUAGUGCGCUUGCUUUGGGAGCAAGAUGUCGGGGGUUCGAGUCCUCUCACCCAGACCA
This 76-nucleotide transfer RNA is filed under the name Caudoviricetes sp. RNAcentral's name for it is "tRNA-Pro". It matches the Rfam family "tRNA". Rfam says of the family: Transfer RNA (tRNA) molecules are approximately 80 nucleotides in length. Their secondary structure includes four short double-helical elements and three loops (D, anti-codon, and T loops). Further hydrogen bonds mediate the characteristic L-shaped molecular structure. tRNAs have two regions of fundamental functional importance: the anti-codon, which is responsible for specific mRNA codon recognition, and the 3' end, to which the tRNAs corresponding amino acid is attached (by aminoacyl-tRNA synthetases). tRNAs cope with the degeneracy of the genetic code in two manners: having more than one tRNA (with a specific anti-codon) for a particular amino acid; and 'wobble' base-pairing, i.e. permitting non-standard base-pairing at the 3rd anti-codon position. Lineage: Duplodnaviria; Heunggongvirae; Uroviricota; Caudoviricetes. The record is from RNAcentral.